This 395-nucleotide ribosomal RNA is filed under the name Epinephelus bilobatus. RNAcentral describes it as "partial 12S ribosomal RNA". The record is from RNAcentral. Lineage: Eukaryota; Metazoa; Chordata; Actinopteri; Perciformes; Serranidae.
GUGUGCGCGCUUCAGGGCCGGUUUCAGCGGGACACUCUGCUUCCUGCUUACUGCUAAAUCCUCCUUCUAGAUAUACGUUUCAGUUUUAUUAUCCGUGAUUCGCUGUAAUAGGGAAUGUAGCCCAUUUCUUCCCCUUCCAUACGCUACACCUCGACCUGACGUUUUGGGAUCUACCAAUUGUGCUUACUAGGGGACCCUCAUGGGGUAAGCUGGCGACGGCGGUAUAUAGGCGGGGAUGACUAGGAAGGGUGAGGUUAAACGGGGGUUAUCGGUUAUAGAACAGGCUCCUCUAGGUGGGUCUAAAGCACCGCCAAGUCCUUUGGGUUUUAAGCUGUUGCUCGUAGUUUCCAGGCGGAUAGUGGUUGUAUAAAUUAUAUGCGAACGGUACGGCGAAG